RNAcentral lists this ribosomal RNA (253 nucleotides) under uncultured bacterium. RNAcentral's name for it is "partial 16S ribosomal RNA". It matches the Rfam family "Bacterial small subunit ribosomal RNA", at positions 524 to 776 of the family's 1533-position model. The record is from RNAcentral.
UACGUAGGGGGCAAGCGUUGUCCGGAUUUAUUGGGCGUCAAGAGCGUGUAGGCGGUUUUGCAAGUCCGUUGUGAAAACUCGAGGCUCAACCUCGAGACGCCGGUGGAAACUGCAAAGCUAGAGUCCGGAAGAGGAGAGUGGAAUUCCUGGUGUAGCGGUGAAAUGCGCAGAUAUCAGGAAGAACACCCGUGGCGAAGGCGGCUCUCUGGGACGGUACUGACGCUGAGACGCGAAAGCGUGGGGAGCGAACAGG